This 702-nucleotide ribosomal RNA is filed under the name Triticum aestivum (bread wheat). Its description in RNAcentral is "partial small subunit ribosomal RNA". Lineage: Eukaryota; Viridiplantae; Streptophyta; Magnoliopsida; Poales; Poaceae. The record is from RNAcentral.
AUGUCGCAAUUGCAGAAGUGCGCGUGCGCCAACCGCAACUGCUUCCAUGACGAUUGCGCUUGUUUCACAAGGGAAGGGCUCUGCUCCGAGUACUGCGAGUGCCGUGGCGACUGCAAGAACAUCUGGAAACACGAGGAGGAAGUCACAAAGGAAUUCGCUGAAUACACCAAGAGGAAAGCUGAUGAAGCUGCUGCCCAAGCUGCCGCUGCCCAAGCGGCCGCUCAACCUCAACCUAAGCCAUUGCCAGCACUAGAACCAGGGUCUGCGCGAGAGCCGUGCCACUGUGCCUCGUGCAAGUGCCAAAACCACUACUGCAGAUGUGUCAGGGCUAACUUGCCUUGUUUGGACCGCUGCGACUGCAAGGACUGCGGUAACACCAAGACCCAUGAGGAGAAGCUCCAGGAUCUAGGGAUCAAGGUUGAGGAUCUUGCUUCAGGUUCGACCGUGAUGACUCGUGGGAAGGCGCAGGCUGUCAAGGAGUCUGCCGUUGGGUGUAAAUGCCAAUCCGAAUGCGCCAGUCGCUGCGGUUGCGUGAGGCGUAACAUCAAGUGCACCUCCAAAUGCAAGUGCCAAGUGUGCGGCAAUGACGACGGGAGCAGAUUUCCCAAUAAGUCCAAGGCUGGAGCAGGGGGUCAAGGGAGUACUCGCAGCAGCAGCAGCGCCGUCGAGUCGACAGGCAAACGGCCAAAACGCGUUGGAUGA